CCAGCCUGGUGUAACUCAACCUCCGGUACAGUUAUUUUCAGCUUAUUUUCUUGUGAACAUUAAGGCUCAGCAGAGAUAGACUCGGCCUCCGUGGCCUUGACAUACUGUGAAGAGGAAAAGAGAAAAGUGGGUGUCUGAAUGCAAAAGAAGACAGAAAGCUCCUUUCACAGAUAAAUAGAAGAGGAAUUCUGCAGGGCGCCAUGUUGGAAGAACGAUGGGAAAUAAAAGAAAGCAAAAGAAAUACCCGUAUGACUACGUCUCCCAUACAACUGUAAACUGAUGUGAAAGGCACAUAAAAGCAUUUAAAGGUAUAGGGGCCCACUCCAGUUUUCAUCCUGGUGACCCUAAGCACAAGUGGGUAUGCUUCCUUCAGAGAUCACCCUUCCUUUUUGACUGACUGGAAAGGCAACUGUUGAAGUCAGAACAACGACUGAUUGGUUCCCAUGUGAAGGGCUUUAUCUCAUUGUAGCACAAUGCUGCCUGUCUUUUGUCCAGAGCUUGGAUACAUUACUUUGUUGGAUGACCUCAUAGCUGUCAGUGUGACUGUGCUGGCUGGAGGGUU
Sceloporus undulatus (fence lizard) is the source of this 562-nucleotide long non-coding RNA. RefSeq lists it as uncharacterized. Lineage: Eukaryota; Metazoa; Chordata; Lepidosauria; Squamata; Phrynosomatidae. The transcript has 4 exons. The record is from RefSeq and is a predicted model, not a curated record.